Molecule: long non-coding RNA, 1022 nt
Organism: Microplitis mediator
Lineage: Eukaryota; Metazoa; Arthropoda; Insecta; Hymenoptera; Braconidae
Exons: 2
Source: RefSeq, a predicted model, not a curated record
GAAUAAAAAAAAAAAAUGCGUAGUUGCGAAAUUGAAAAAUCAAUGCGCGCAUUUUUUUAAAUUUAAUUAUUUUUAUUAAUUUAUUUAAUUAUUUAUAAAUUGGCUCAUAUCUGCUACAUUUACAUGAGUGUAAAUGUAACUGACAAGUGGGAAUUUUUUAAAAUUUUAAACAAAUAAAGUGUAAGUAGAAUAAAAAUUAAAAAAUGCGUAUUUAGAUGAAAAAAAAAUCAGUGCGCGCAUUUUUUUAAAUUUCAUUAUUUUAAUUCAUUUAUUUAUUUAUUUAAAAUUUAUAUCUGCUACAUUCACACUCAUUAAGUGAAAUAUUUUUAAUUGUUUAAUAAUAAUAUUUUGUGUAAAGUGAUAUUACAAGUAUAGUGUGCCCAGAAUGUGAAAGAAAAUACUAGAAAGAAGUAUACAUGUUAUUGAGUUACGUAUAAAAUGUGUGAUAAAAAAAAGCGACGUAAUUUGAACGUUUUAUGUCAUGUUAUCGGUCUCUGUUUAUCUUGCGAUUCUCGAACGGUCGAGAAAGACCGAGCCUAUUUGCAGGCGAAUGAAAGCACAAGUGAAAGAGAAAGAGAGACAGAUGAUAGAGAGAGAAGAAAAAAAAUCAAUUUUGGCAACCGUUCUAUAUAAUAAUAAUAAUAAGAUACAGACCGUUGCUAUGAAACGAGAAGUAAAAUUACUUAUAUUUAUUAUUUAAUUUAUUGUUUCAUGGUAAUAAACUUUAUUAAGGUAAACAAAAAAAUUUAGUUGCUAACAAGAUGUCAAUUAUUGGUACUUUAUUUUAUUUAUUUACUAAAUUUCUUUCAAGGUCAAGUUGUAGAUAUUUUUUUUCCAUACAUAAAAUUCUGAAAAAUUAAAUUUUUAAAUUAUUAUUCAAAAUAAAUAAAUUAAUUCAUUGAUUUGCCAAACAAAAAAAUUACGUGACGUUUAAAAACUGCGCAUUUAAAAAAUUUUUUCUAGCUCUAAUUAAAAUACAUUUGAGUUGAAGUUCAUUAAAUAAAUAUUUAUUAUUAUUAUCA